This 24-nucleotide non-coding RNA is filed under the name Callithrix jacchus (white-tufted-ear marmoset). RNAcentral also lists the same sequence under 3 other names. Lineage: Eukaryota; Metazoa; Chordata; Mammalia; Primates; Cebidae. The record is from RNAcentral.
CGUCAACACUUGCUGGUUUCCUCU